UAUUGCACAAUGGGGGAAACCCUGAUGCAGCGACGCCGCGUGAGUGAAGAAGUAUUUCGGUAUGUAAAGCUCUAUCAGCAGGGAAGAAAAUGACGGUACCUGAUUAAGAAGCCCCGGCUAACUACGUGCCAGCAACCGCGGUAAUACGUAGGGGGCAAGCGUUAUUCGGAUUUACUGGGUGUAAAGGGAGCGGAGACGGCAGCACAAGGCUGGAGUGAAAUGCCGAGGCUUAACCCCGGAACUGCUUUGGAAACUGUGCAGCUAGAGUGCAGGAGAGGUAAGUGGAAUUCCUAGUAUAGCGGUGAAAUGCGUAGAUAUUAGGAGGAACACCAGUGGCGAAGGCGGCUUACUGGACUGUAACUGACGUUGAGGCUCGAAAGCGUAGGGAGCAAACAGG
RNAcentral lists this ribosomal RNA (397 nucleotides) under uncultured bacterium. RNAcentral's name for it is "bacterial SSU rRNA". It matches the Rfam family "Bacterial small subunit ribosomal RNA", at positions 362 to 776 of the family's 1533-position model. The record is from RNAcentral.